Molecule: ribosomal RNA, 397 nt
Filed under: uncultured bacterium
Lineage: Bacteria
Description: partial 16S ribosomal RNA
Rfam family: Bacterial small subunit ribosomal RNA
Source: RNAcentral
AUACGUAGGUGGCAAGCGUUGUCCGGAAUUAUUGGGCGUAAAGCGCGCGCAGGUGGUUCCUUAAGUCUGAUGUGAAAGCCCCCGGCUCAACCGGGGAGGGUCAUUGGAAACUGGGGAACUUGAGUGCAGAAGAGGAUAGUGGAAUUCCAAGUGUAGCGGUGAGAUGCGUAGAGAUUUGGAGGAACACCAGUGGCGAAGGCGACUGUCUGGUCUGUAACUGACACUGAGGCGCGAAAGCGUGGGGAGCAAACAGGAUUAGAUACCCUGGUAGUCCACGCCGUAAACGAUGAGUGCUAAGUGUUGGGGGGUUUCCGCCCCUCAGUGCUGCAGCUAACGCAUUAAGCACUCCGCCUGGGGAGUACGGUCGCAAGACUGAAACUCAAAGGAAUUGACGGGG